GAAAACUCUUUUUUAGAAGCUCUUCAAAUUAAAAACUACUAGUAAUUUCUUCCUUCCCAAAACUAAAUAAACCUCCUUCGACUGUGCAGGGUACAUUUCUCGAUAUCAGACCACACCUCUGUUUUCUGUAAGCCUCUUAUUGGUUCCCUAACGAAUGUUGUUAAUUACGUUGUACGUUGUUCUGACUAUUUAUUCAGCUUCGGUUGUAGCCACGAACGCAUCGAUCUCUUGCGGUGAAGGUGAUGACAGAGAUUAUUAACUCAUGCUUAGUUUUGAGUUCAGAAGAAAGCACGCAGCAGAGGACAAGAUCGCUACUUCAUUUCAGAAAUCUCGAAGUGCAGCCAAGAAGUUGCUUGAAGAUUUCACAAAGAAAGGAGGACUAGAAUCGCCAAAAGAAUAGGUCCAAAGUCCAAUGAAAUUAAAAUUCAUUAUUGUAUUGUGUGCCUCAAUUAGCACGUUUGUAUGUAUGGGACAAUGGGAGCCAACUUGGAGCACAAGAGCUGCAGAAGAAGCUGAGGUUGUGGCAGCAAUACCAUGUUCAGGACAUGGAAGAGCCUACUUAGAUGGUCUUAUUCUUAAAGAUAUGAAUAAGUCUCUUUGUGAAUGCAAUUCAUGCUAUGCUGGAUCUGACUGCUCCCAGUUUUUAUCUGAUUGCCCUGCCAACGCUGAUGGUGGUGAUCCAUAUUUUAUGGAGCCAUUUUGGAUGUGAAAUGCAGCAAGUAGUGCCAUCUUAGUAUCAGGAUGGCAUAGAAUGGGUUAUUCUUAUAGCGAUGGAUCAUACAUCUCACAACUAUUGGUUGAGUACAUAAAAAAACUUGAUGCCAUCGUUGGGAAUGCAAUCAGCGAAGGAAAGUACAUCGUAUUUGGAAGUGGCUCAACCCUCUUCUCAAUGCUGCUGUUUAUGCCUUGUCUCCCUACUCUUCAAUGUUUCCAGCAAAAGUGGUAGCCACAGCACCAUAUUAUCCGGGAUUUUAGUUAUGAAGGAGACACAUCCUUGUGGAAAAACAACACAAAUAGCAGCUUCAGAUUUAUUGAGUUUGUGACUUCACCAAACAAUCCAGAUGGAAAGUUGAACAAGGGAGUUCUCAAAGGCUCUGAUGUGAAAACCAUUUAUGAUCGAGCCUAUUAUUGGCCACAUUUCACUGCUAUUUCUUCACCAGCUGAUGAUGAUCUUAUGGUGUUUACAAUUUCUAAGCUCACAGGCCAUGCUGGGAGUAGAUUUUGAUGGACAAUAAUAAAGGAUGAGGCAGUAUAUCAAAAGAUGAUGAUAUAUUUGAGAUUGAGCACCAUUGGAAUUUCCCGUGACGUUCAGCUGAGAGUUUUAAAGCUUUUGGACGUGGCUACUGAAGGAGAUGGAAAAGAAAUAUUCCAAUUUACAUAUUCAACAAUGAGAGAUCGUUGGAUAAGGUUAAAACAAAUCAUAUAUAAAUCAAAACAGUUUUCUCUACAGAAAUUGUUUCCCAAUACUGUGCCUUUUUCAAGAGGGUCAGAGAUCCUUCACCAGGUAAAUGUUAAUUUCUGAUCACAUUUUUAGGUUUUUAUCAUUUUUUAAUUAUGUUUAUAAAUAUUACAUUUGUUCUUAACCAUUUUAAUUUUGAUUGUGUCUUACGCCAUUUAUUUCAUCAAUUUUAUGAAGAAUUAAUUAAUUGCCGUCUAACUUCACCAGCACAAUAAAAAGUUGAGUAAAUAUAUGAAGU
Glycine soja is the source of this 1697-nucleotide long non-coding RNA. RefSeq lists it as uncharacterized. The transcript has 5 exons. Lineage: Eukaryota; Viridiplantae; Streptophyta; Magnoliopsida; Fabales; Fabaceae. The record is from RefSeq and is a predicted model, not a curated record.